GGCUUGGUGGUACAGUGGUUAAGUGUUUGGUUGCUAACCAAAAGGUCGGCAGUUCAAAUCCGCCAGCCG
This 69-nucleotide transfer RNA is filed under the name Loxodonta africana (African savanna elephant). It matches the Rfam family "tRNA". Rfam says of the family: Transfer RNA (tRNA) molecules are approximately 80 nucleotides in length. The record is from Rfam by way of RNAcentral. Lineage: Eukaryota; Metazoa; Chordata; Mammalia; Proboscidea; Elephantidae.